GAUGAACGCUGGCGGCGUGCCUAACACAUGCAAGUCGAACGGAACUUCUUCGACAGAAUUCUUCGGAAGGAAGUUGAUUAAGUUUAGUGGCGGACGGGUGAGUAACGCGUGAGUAACCUGCCUUUGAGAGGGGAAUAACUUCCCGAAAGGGAUGCUAAUACCGCAUGACGCAUAUUUAUCGCAUGGUAGAUAUGCCAAAGAUUUAUCGCUCAAAGAUGGACUCGCGUCCGAUUAGCCAGUUGGCGGGGUAACGGCCCACCAAAGCGACGAUCGGUAGCCGGACUGAGAGGUUGAACGGCCACAUUGGGACUGAGACACGGCCCAGACUCCUACGGGAGGCAGCAGUGGGGGAUAUUGCGCAAUGGGGGAAACCCUGACGCAGCAACGCCGCGUGAAGGAUGAAGGUUUUCGGAUUGUAAACUUCUUUUAUUUAGGACGAACAAUGACGGUACUAAAUGAAUAAGCUCCGGCUAAC
This 475-nucleotide ribosomal RNA is filed under the name uncultured bacterium. RNAcentral's name for it is "bacterial SSU rRNA". It matches the Rfam family "Bacterial small subunit ribosomal RNA", at positions 28 to 501 of the family's 1533-position model. The record is from RNAcentral.